UUCUGAGUUCAGUGAUAUGUCACAAUCCCUUCUGUGGGCUGGUCCCAAACAAGGAGAGUCAAAUCAUUUAGGUGCUGGGAAGAGGCACAUGUCACACCUGCAAGAAAGUCCAAGGAUGAGAUUAAAAAUUCCACACACGUCCAAAUUCUAGGUGUGCUAGAUUUUGGCCUGAGAAGCACCAAUUAACCUGCAGACCAGAUCCACUCAUGAGAGUCAAUUUUCCAACUUUUGACUGUCUCCAGGGCCCAAGCAGAAGAGAUGAAUCACAUCAUCUAUGUGAUGAAUGAAAAGAUAUGUCAUUAUUCCCCUGUGGGCAGGGCUUGUGCAGAAAAGUUGCGUCUUCUAGGUGUUGGACUCAAAAAUAAAUCACAAUGUCUGCAGCACUUUAGAAAGAGAGGAGAGUCACAUCACUUAGGCAUGGCCCAGGCAGGAGAGAAGAGUCAUAUCACCUAAGAUCUGGAUUCACGGAUAUGUCCCAAUUUCUUUUUUGGGCAAUGCUCAGUUCUAGGUAUGAGAGUCAACACCUGUGUAUUGGAUCCAAAUAGAUGAGUCACAAUCUCAACAACUGACUUGAUCCAUGUGUGAGAUCUUAUUUUCUUUUUGCAUUACUAUUAGUUACAGUACCUAUUAAUCCUUCCACAAUCUCUAUCUUUGUCCUGUAUGAAUGUACAUACAAAGACUGAUACAUAUACAAGAUUAUAUGAGUAUUUCUAUGUAAAUAUGUACACAAAAAUUGUUCCUCAAGACGUUUCUCAAUCUCUUAGCAUAUUCUAAGGGUGAAGAUGUAGAAUUAUUUCUCUUCUCUGUCUCAGUAGCAUGUCAGAAUGGAACGUAGCUAUACAAUGUUGUUUGUAUAGACAAACUAAGCUUCACUUUCAGGGACAAGGUCUGGGAAAUAAGCUGAUAUUAAAGCCAUGUAACACUUUCUGUCCAGGUUAGCAUUUCUGGACUUUGAUUUUCUUCUCAGUAUAUGCAUGAGCUAUUCUCAUCCACCACUGGGGGUCCAUCUUGAUUAAUCUACAAUUGAUAUUCAGAGAACUGGCUGAUUGAAUCCACCUGGGCUGAGCUAAUUCACUGAUUGAAAUCACCUGGGCUGAGCUUAUUGGCCAAUUAAAAUAAUCUGGGACUCAAAUAUUGGCUGACUGUAGUCACCGGGGCUGAACUAAUUAGCUGAUUUUAAUCUCCUGGGAUCAGCUAAUUGAUUGUAAUUACCUGAUUGGAGUUAAUUGGCUGAUUGAAAUAAAAAAUGCUGACCUAAUUGGCAGAUCGAAAUCAUCUGGAAUGAGGUAAUUGACUGGAUUUACCUGAUCUGAGCUAAUUACCCAGACCAAGCUAAUUGGCUAAUUGGAAUAAACUGGGCUGAGCUAAUUGGCUGAUUGGAAUCAUCAGGGCUGAGUAAAUGGAUUGAUUGUAUUCACCUCGCCUGAGAAGAGUAA
This is a non-coding RNA of Macaca mulatta (Rhesus monkey), 1436 nucleotides long. The record is from RefSeq and is a predicted model, not a curated record. Lineage: Eukaryota; Metazoa; Chordata; Mammalia; Primates; Cercopithecidae.